This is a long non-coding RNA of Brassica oleracea var. oleracea, 1916 nucleotides long. RefSeq lists it as uncharacterized. The record is from RefSeq and is a predicted model, not a curated record. The transcript has 6 exons. NCBI's taxonomy places the organism in Eukaryota, Viridiplantae, Streptophyta, Magnoliopsida, Brassicales, Brassicaceae.
AUAAAGAUGGUUGAGCAGUCCGUUCCUGUUCAUCUCUCUUUCUCUCAGCGUAAAUUUUUUAUGCCUUUUGACAUUAUAUCGAUGCGUCUUCAUCUUCUCACCCUCUUCCCAUCCUCACUAUAUAAAUGAUGCCUUUUGACACUCAAAUCUAAAUAUUCUUCACACAGUGCAGCAAUUGCCAAAACACCAAUUCUCGCCAUCGCCUCCUAUCUAGGUUACAGCGUCGCUCCUCCAUAGCAUUCGUAGAAUGCACUGCUACAGUUUGCGAGAGUGGUGAAGGCCAAAUAACAAGUUGUAGGCUAGAAAGAGGAAGUUUUAAGAACCCACAGUGUGUGUGAAGCCAUGGAUGAACUUCAAGUAGUUGCAUGAGUUUAUACAUGCCAGUAAUGAUGCGCCUACCAUACUCUCUCAGAUCUUGGUUGCCAAAAAGGAGGUCCUGAAAACAUCCAAAUCACAGCUUUUGCCAUUGCCUUGAAACAAGUAGCCAUUCCAGAGAACAAAGCUUGCAUACAGCAGAUGAAGAAAACGCAAGUUUUAGCAUUGGCUCUGCUUAGAAGAAAAUGCAGACUGGUUACAGGUGUUGUUGUGGGAUCUCACUCCUUUGGGCUUAACUGGUACGAGAAUUCAUUCAACGUUACCUACCAGAUUUUAGAGUGUGUCUGAUUUUCAGGGAAAGUCAGACACACUGGUGUGUUAGAUGUGCCAUAUAACCUUAAACAAGACUGCUAUAUUUGGUGACAAUGGUUGAAUGGUACUAUAUCUCUUGGAGGUGUAACUGUGGACACCGGAGGCGACAACCCGAGGCUGUAUAGAGUCUGAUUUCGAGUCAAUAACGGACUUUCUGAUGAAGGCAACUCAUAUAACAAGUGCGUUGCAGAGAAAACAUGGUUAGCCGCACAAGGAGUUUGUGAAGAGUCUAUGUGAGAUUAGGAACCGAGUCGAAGCAUUCGCUUUGCAGUAUGAGAUGCAUGCUUCUAGCUAUCAGAGAGAUAUAGCAACUGCUCAACAAGUAUCCAAAACAAGCGGCGCUCCCGCGAAGAAUUUUGAUUUCUAAGUUUUGAAGCCUAUAACUCUUUAGAGUAUCAUCACCAGUGAGCCAAACGGUUGCCUCUUCUGAGUCACUCUCAGAUUGGAUGCUUGACAGUGCUUCCAGCUGCUAUUACAACCAGACCAAUGGUCUGGCACUAUGACUCAGAUUGUGGAUUCAAUUACAGUUACGUAACAAUUAUAGUUUUUUCAUUUUCUUUCGGAUAGAAUUGUAUACAAUUUCUUUCUUCAUGUGGGAUUACACUGAUAAUCAAAAAGGACGUUGGAUGACACAAGCUGAAGCAUACACUGCGGUUGAAGAAUACGAGGCAAUAGGCAACCAAGUCAAGCGUGCCUAGGAUGGUUGGUAAUAUGGUUUAUGGAGGAAGUCCAGUGUCAGCUGCACUCUCUGUUGGGAGACGAGAGUUCUAUGCUCUGUUUAUUGAAGAAGGUUUAGAUUGGAGCAGUAUCCCUUGGAAAAAGGAAGCCAUGAAAAGUUUUGAGAAAGUCAUCAAACUCGCUGAAAAAAGUAAAUUUUGAAGCAUGACAUGGUUGCUGAUAAGAGAUACUUUGUCUGAGUUUGAUCCUGAUUUAAGUAUGAUGGAAUAUGAACAAGAAGGUUAUGGAUUGACUAGGAGUGUAGGGUCUUCUUCAAGGAGGGAUAUAUUUUUAGUGGCACAAGAUCAAGAAAUCUGCUUCGGGGAUGUUUCAUUACGGAUGAACUUUUAAUGCAAUGCAUGUGUAGGAUUGAGGGAGAGUAGUAUGUAUUUUAAAUUCCCACUACUCCACUCCGUACAUUUUCGGAUUCUAUGCAAUGCAUGUGUAUGAGUGAGACUAGCUUUGUAUGCAUUUUAAAUUCCCACUAUUCUAUUUCAAACUUUCUUGGAAUC